RNAcentral lists this transfer RNA (84 nucleotides) under Myxococcales bacterium. Its description in RNAcentral is "tRNA-Leu". It matches the Rfam family "tRNA". From Rfam's summary of the family: Transfer RNA (tRNA) molecules are approximately 80 nucleotides in length. Their secondary structure includes four short double-helical elements and three loops (D, anti-codon, and T loops). Lineage: Bacteria; Pseudomonadati; Myxococcota; Myxococcia; Myxococcales. The record is from RNAcentral.
GCGAAAGUGGCGGAACUGGUAGACGCGCUAGAUUCAGGUUCUAGUGGGCGCACGCCUGUGGGGGUUCGAGUCCCCCCUUUCGCA